This 1989-nucleotide non-coding RNA is filed under the name Chaetothyriales sp. CR0722. Its description in RNAcentral is "partial 18S ribosomal RNA". It matches the Rfam family "Eukaryotic small subunit ribosomal RNA", at positions 54 to 1413 of the family's 1831-position model. Lineage: Eukaryota; Fungi; Ascomycota; Eurotiomycetes; Chaetothyriales. The record is from RNAcentral.
CAUGUCCAAGUAUAAGCACUUAUAUUGUGAAACUGCGAAUGGCUCAUUAAAUCAGUUAUCGUUUAUUUGAUAGUACCUUUACCUGGAUAACCGUGGUAAUUCUAGAGCUAAUACAUGCUAAAAACCCCGACUUCGGGAGGGGUGUAUUUAUUAGAUAAAAAACCAAUGCCCUCUGGGCUCCUUGGUGAUUCAUAAUAACUAAACGAAUCGCAUGGCCUUGCGCCGGCGAUGGUUCAUUCAAAUUUCUGCCCUAUCAACUUUCGAUUGUAAGAUAGAGGCUUACAAUGGUCUUAACGGGUAACGGAGAAUAAGGGUUCGGUUCCGGAGAGGGAGCCUGAGAAACGGCUACCACAUCCAAGGAAGGCAGCAGGCGCGCAAAUUACCCAAUGCUAAUUCAGCGAGGUAGUGACAAUAAAUACUGAUACGGGGCUCUUUCGGGUCUCGUAAUUGGAAUGAGUACAAUCUAAAUCCCUUAACGAGGAACAAUUGGAGGGCAAGUCUGGUGCCAGCAGCCGCGGUAAUUCCAGCUCCAAUAGCGUAUAUUAAAGUUGUUGCCGUUAAAAAGCUCGUAGUUGAACCUUGGACCUGGCUGAUCUGUCCUCCUCAUCGAGCGCACGGAUUCGGUCGGGUCUUUCCUUCUGGGGAACCCGAUGCCCUUUACUGGGUGUCGUGGGGAACCAGGACUUUUACCUUGAAAAAAUUAGAGUGUUCAAAGCAGGCCUUUGCUCGAAUACAUUAGCAUGGAAUAAUAAAAUAGGACAUCGGUUCUAUUUUGUUGGUUUCUAGGACCGCUGUAAUGAUUAAUAGGGAUAGUCGGGGGCGUCAGUAUUCAAUUGUCAGAGGUGAAAUUCUUGGAUUUAUUGAAGACUAACUACUGCGAAAGCAUUCGCCAAGGAUGUUUUCAUUAAUCAGUGAACGAAAGUUAGGGGAUCGAAGACGAUCAGAUACCGUCGUAGUCUUAACCAUAAACUAUGCCGACUAGGGAUCGGACGGUGGUUUUUUUAUGCCCCGUUCGGCACCUUACGAGAAAUCAAAGUUUUUGGGCUCGGGGGGGAGUAUGGUCGCAAGGCUGAAACUUAAAGAAAUUGACGGAAGGGCACCACCAGGCGUGGAGCCUGCGGCUUAAUUUGACUCAACACGGGGAAACUCACCAGGUCCAGACAUGCUUAGGAUUGACAGAUUGAUAGCUCUUUCUUGAUUGUAUGGGUGGUGGUGCAUGGCCGUUCUUAGUUGGUGGAGUGAUUUGUCUGCUUAAUUGCGAUAACGAACGAGACCUUGACCUGCUAAAUAGCCAGGUUGACUUNNNNNNNNNNNNNNNNNNNNNNNNNNNNNNNNNNNNNNNNNNNNNNNNNNCGAUUGAUGGCUCAGUGAGGCCUUGGGACUGGCUCAGAGAGGUCGGCAACGACCACUCAGAGCCGGAAACUUGGUCAAACUUGGUCAUUUAGAGGAAGUAAAAGUCGUAACAAGGUUUUGUCUUCUAAGUGGUGAAGAUGAUCAUUCUUUUAAUGAUCCUUCUACAGUAAAACUUACGGAAGCCUUUGCGUCCCGAAAGGGUCGGUCUCGUACGACUAUAAACAAAUAAUGACGAGCCAUAAUCGCAAGUCUGGCCUUUAGGGGCCGGGCAACACUGUCAAAUUGCGGGAACACCCUAAAGUCUCUUGCACUAAGCCAUGGCCGAAAGGCCAUGGUGGCCAGGGUAAUGCCCUCGGGUAAAGUCACAGCCAAGAGAAUAGAUCACCUGUCCUAGGUGUGAAAAUGGGCAAUCUGCAGCCAAGUCCUAAGGGCCACCGCCAACGUGGUGGCUACGGAUGCAGUUCACAGGCCAAAUGGUAGUGGGUGAGGCGAUGCCUUGCUUAAGAUAUGGUCGGGCCCCUUGGGAAACUUUGGGGAUAAUUUACUGAAUAACGCCGAUAACAUAAGAUGUCUUGAUGCCAUCUGCAAAAUUGGUGAAAGAACCGUUCCGUAGGUGAACCUGCGGAAGGAUCAUUA